UAAGACAGAGGUGCCGAGCGUUAGGCGGAAUCACUGGGCUUAAAGCGCGUGUAGGCGGGCCGUUAAGUGCCCCGUGAAAUCCCCCGGCUUAACCGGGGAACUGCGGGGCAUACUGGCGGCCUUGAGAGACCUAGGGGCGAGCGGAACAGGCGGUGGAGCGGUGAAAUGCGUAGAUAUCGCCUGGAACGCCGACGGUGAAAACAGCUCGCUGGGGGUCUUCUGACGCUGAGACGCGAAAGCCAGGGGAGCGAACGGGAUUAGAUACCCCGGUAGUCCUGGCCCUAAACGAUGUCCACUAGGUCGCGGAGGCGUUUGACCGCCGCCGCGGCCGAAGCAAAAGUGCUAAGUGGACCGCCUGGGAAGUACGGUCGCAAGGCUA
This 379-nucleotide ribosomal RNA is filed under the name uncultured bacterium. Its description in RNAcentral is "bacterial SSU rRNA". It matches the Rfam family "Bacterial small subunit ribosomal RNA", at positions 521 to 896 of the family's 1533-position model. The record is from RNAcentral.